AUGAACACUGUGGAACUGACCUUCCAUGGACUUGCAUUAUUUUCCAGAGAACCCAUAAAGCCCUGAGUUGAUUAUCCCUUUAAUACCAUGGCUAUAAUUUGACACAUUUGCCGGUAGAAAUGUGUUCUUUUGCCGGUAGAAAUGUGUUCAACAUCCACUGAAGUAGCGAGCAAGUUUACUAGAUAGCUACAGUAGUUGCCUUGGUAACCAAACAAACAUACUUGCUAGUUUAGAUAACCAAACCAUCAGUCCUAGCUUGCUAUUGUGAAAACCUAAUUCAACAAUACCAAUACUGUUUUCAAUUUGACUUAAUUUGUAAUGUCCAAAAGGCAAAACGUAUUUACCGUGGAUUGGAGGGAAGAGGUCUGUGAACCAAUAUCAGUUUGUUGUAUUCAUAAAAGUAAUAUGGGGUGGAAGCUACUGAAGUUUUAGGGAAGCAUUUUUCAUGUAAAGUCAAUUCAGAGAAUGACAGACUUUGAUGCCAAACCGCCAUUACACCUUCCUGUUCAAGAGAGCACAGCACAACAAGCUCUAGGCAGACAGCACGUCAGGAAUGCUGCAAGACAUCAGAGACAGAUGCCUGGCCUUUUCUUGUUCUUGGAGGUUGGUUCUGAUGUUUCAGCCGCUUCUGGAGCUUCUAGCUGCUGGCUGUCUGGCCCCCCCUGUUGGUUCUCUGGCCACUCCUGCUGGUUCUCUGAACUCCCCUCCUGGUUCUCUGCCCAUGCCUGUUGCCUCCUUGGCCUUUCCUGGUGGUCAUCUCCAGAUCCAGUGGGCUGUGUUGUCUCCAGAUAAUCGUGGCUGUGUUGGGUGGUUAGACACCGGGUGUUGAUUUGAGCAUCAGCCUCCAGAUUCAUCUGCUCCAGGAGGGGGUAAGAAGACAGUCCCAGUAGGAGACGGAGAUCGUCCAGAAGAAGAAGAGGUGUCCAUCUCCUCAGAGACUGCAGGAAAGGUCUACAAGUUUUAUUUCUGGAAAAUAAAGAGAUGCCUUCUUUCAGCAACAAUGUGUGUUUCUAUGUUUCUGUCACUAGAUGGCGCCAUUGUAAACAACAUUUACUCACCAGGUCAGUGAAUUCAGAAACAGCCUUCAGACUACGGUACUCAAACUCUAGCCUACAACCCAUCAUGCAUCAGCACGACUAAUAUAAUAAUACCUCAUCACAACUUCAUAAUCACAGUACACCUGGAUUGUGUUCACAAAGUGUUUCAGGGUAGGAGUGCUGAUCUAGGAUCAGGUCCCCUCCUGUCCAUCAAAACGUAUUCAGUUUGAUUUAAAAGACAGAACUGAUCAUUGAUCAGCACUCCUUCUAUGAGACUUUGUGAAUAUGAGCCUAUGUGAAGAAUCUUUCUGGCAUAUGCUGGCUAGACAGUACACAGACAGACAGAUAGUCUGACAGACAGACAGAAGAGUAAAUACAGAUAGAGUGAUUGAUAGCAACAGAAAAAAACGAAUCCAUAAUUAAUAAUUGUGUUUUAUAAGGCUAGCUAGGUAAUGUCAGAAAGAAAACAUAUUUCAAAUACAUUAACGUUCACAUGUGGUAUCUUACCAUGACAGAAUUAUAGGCUAAGUAGGCUAGCGGAUGGUUAAUGUAUUGUAAACUUUUGUAAAUAUUUGACUCACCUCAAAUCACACUUGUCAAAGCGCAGUUUUAGUGUUUAACCGAAUAACAUCUUCGGCAUUAACUUUCUCUGUUCUGGAACUGUAUUGUUGCGUCAUUUGGAACGCUUGAGCGUCAUAAUCCGUUCACCGCGCCUGCUUGAUUGACAGCUAGGGGUUCUCCUGCGCAUCAGUGUCCAAAAGUCGAUUUGUUUAGAUACUCAUAAUUGAUCAAGACAUUUUUAACUAUUUUCCACUUUACUUUUAUUUCGCGUAUUUUUGCCUAAGGUUAUUUACCAUAUCUAUCAUCACCACAAGUAAUAUACCUACCAUCACAACAUCUAUCACACCUACCAUCACCAAACCUACCACACCUACCUUCACCACACCUACCAUACCUACCUUCACCAAACCAACCAACCAUCACCACACCUAUUACACCUACCAUCACCACAGCUACCUCACCUACCAUCAUCACACCACACCCACCAAACCUACCUACCUACCACAACUAUCACACCCAUCUACCACAACUGACACACCUACAUCACACCUAACAUAACCACACCUACCAUCACUAUACCUACCAUUACACCAACCAUCUCACCUACCAUCACCACACCUACCAUCGCCACAAAUACCAUACCAUAAUUACUUCACCACACCUACCAUCACCACACCUACAAUCACUAUACUUAAUGUAGCAGUGUGAUGUUGUUCCCCUAGAAUAUGCACCAAGUUGCACACAAGGACCAAUUCAAAUAGGCCAGGUCAAGAGGGCAUGUUAAUAAUUUGGCGCUCUUUUGCCUGACUUUCGGCUAGCAAGGUGCCUGAGAGCUAGGACUGCGCCAAGGGUUAACAUAAUGUGUGUUUUCUCUUCGUGUGCAGGGCAAAUACAUAUAAUUCAACUAGCAGACCUUCAGUUGUGGCAGCGUCCUAAUUAAAAGUACACAACGCAGAAUGAACCACGCUACACAAGGUAGCCAAAGUGGAAUCAAAAGUCAUAGGCCUAAUCACCAAUCAAAUAUGAAAUAUAAAACCAAAAUAUAAUCUACAUAUAAAUGUAGUAGAGUUCAAAAGGUUAUUCCAUCAAACUUCAAAUUAUUAGAAUAGUACACAACGCAGAACAGAACAACCAGGUUGGGGGUCAGUGGCCCAAGCCCGCUAACAGGAAUAUUCCAAGUUCAGACAGAAGGGGGGAGUCAGAUCGCUAUGAUCACAAGGAACUUUACUUUUGGUGUCUAUUUUUAAUUGUUGCUCUACUGGUGCUGCCUGUUGAUGUUAGGUAGGUAGCUACAGUAGCUGAAUGAUGUUAACAUCUUAGGGUUUUGUUUCAUUAAAUGUAUUAUAUUUCAUCUGGGUGCUUGUGUCACCUACUAACACCCUGGUACUACCCGUAGCUCCCGUUCUCCUCAGUCUGAGAGAAAGGUAUGUGUUGCAGAUGACUCCUUUGUAGAAGUCCAUAACGUCAAAUAAAUAAAACAUCCUAAGGUUAAUGCUGUAGAUAUUGUUAUAAGGGAGUGUGAGAUGUAAGAAAUUGUAUUAGAUAUUGGUAACUUGUUUUAACAACUUCUCAACAUUAGCUAUAGUGGACACAACAUACACACCCCCUCUUUCUCUUGGACAUAUGCUGGACUCAUUAGACAUAUACACGACACCCACAACUCCCCUCCCCCAUGACAAUCACACAGACACACCCAACCCAUGGUUGGACCUCAGGACAAAGAACUAUCUCAGGAACCAAUGGAACGUGGACACCAGGCCUGAUCAGGACUACCCAAGACCCAGAUCGACCAAUCGGAAGGCCGGACUCGCAGAUCUACCUACUUUGCUUGUUGUCUAUAUAGUACUGUACAAUUCUGGAAACUGGCCUCUUUCCCGGACGAUUCACUAGGAGUCAGACAGAAAGAGCCUUGCUGCAAGAUUUUACUAAGAUAUCUUUACAUGUGAUUAAACGGCCUUAUUAUAAAAUUA
Salvelinus fontinalis (brook trout) is the source of this 3568-nucleotide long non-coding RNA. RefSeq lists it as uncharacterized. NCBI's taxonomy places the organism in Eukaryota, Metazoa, Chordata, Actinopteri, Salmoniformes, Salmonidae. The transcript has 4 exons. The record is from RefSeq and is a predicted model, not a curated record.